CUGAGUAAAACGGGCGGCGGCUUCUUGUCUGGUUCCGGUUUUUGCAUGUUCCGCUUUUCUGGCAGGUCCUCCUCCUCUUCCUCCAUCCUCACAUCAUCCUUAGUUGAGAGAGGGGUGCUUUCCUCAGGUGAAGAUUAAAGGUACUAUACCCUGAACUCGUCACCAGUCAAUCGCAGGCCACAGACAACCAUUCACUCACAUUCAGUCACACCAUCACCAAGUCAGACCUGGCCCAGCCCCGUUUCCUCUCCCACACAUGAGCAACA
Molecule: long non-coding RNA, 266 nt
Organism: Phyllopteryx taeniolatus (common seadragon)
Lineage: Eukaryota; Metazoa; Chordata; Actinopteri; Syngnathiformes; Syngnathidae
Exons: 3
Source: RefSeq, a predicted model, not a curated record